Molecule: ribosomal RNA, 254 nt
Filed under: uncultured bacterium
Lineage: Bacteria
Description: partial 16S ribosomal RNA
Rfam family: Bacterial small subunit ribosomal RNA
Source: RNAcentral
UACGGGGGGGGGUAAGCGUUGUUCGGAAUUACUGGGCGUAAAGGGCUCGUAGGCGGCCAACUAAGUCGGCCGUGAAAUCCCUCAGCUUAACUGGGGAACUGCGUCCGAUACUGGAUGGCUUGGAUUUGGGAGAGGGAUGCGGAAUUCCAGGUGUAGCGGUGAAAUGCGUAGAUAUCAGGAGGAACACCGGUGGCGAAGGCGGGUCUCUGGGCCGAUACUGACGCUGAGGAGCGAAAGCGUGGGGAGCGAACAGG